This 301-nucleotide ribosomal RNA is filed under the name uncultured Facklamia sp. RNAcentral describes it as "partial 16S ribosomal RNA". The stretch from base 53 to 301 matches the Rfam family "Bacterial small subunit ribosomal RNA", at positions 547 to 795 of the family's 1533-position model. The record is from RNAcentral. Lineage: Bacteria; Bacillati; Bacillota; Bacilli; Lactobacillales; Aerococcaceae.
UCGAAUGGGUGGGAAUGCAGCAGCGUAAACCAGAAGGGUGGAAAGGCUGCUUGGAAGCAUUGCGCGUAAGGGGCAUGGAGGCGGCGUGCCAAGGUGGUGGUGAAAUCGCUAGGCUGAACGGAGGACGGGCAUACGAAAGUGGCGAGCUUGAGUGCUGAAGAGGAUAGCGGAAGUCCCGGUGUAGAGGUGAAAUUCGUAGAUAUCGGGAGGAACACCAGUGGCGAAGGCGGCGAUCUGGGCAGACACUGACGCUGAGGUGCGAAAGCGUGGGGAGCAAACAGGAUUAGAUACCCCGGUAGUC